GGGCGGUUGGCUCAGCUGGUUAGAGCGGCUGGUUUACACCCAGCAGGUCGGGAGUUCGAGUCUCUCACCGCCCACCA
RNAcentral lists this transfer RNA (77 nucleotides) under Armatimonadota bacterium. Its description in RNAcentral is "Armatimonadetes bacterium (anaerobic digester metagenome) tRNA-Val". It matches the Rfam family "tRNA". From Rfam's summary of the family: Transfer RNA (tRNA) molecules are approximately 80 nucleotides in length. Their secondary structure includes four short double-helical elements and three loops (D, anti-codon, and T loops). Lineage: Bacteria; Bacillati; Armatimonadota. The record is from RNAcentral.